CAGCAGCCGCGGUAAGACAGAGGAUGCAAGCGUUAUCCGGAAUGAUUGGGCGUAAAGCGUCUGUAGGUGGCUUUUCAAGUCCGCCGUCAAAUCCCAGGGCUCAACCCUGGACAGGCGGUGGAAACUACCAAGCUGGAGUACGGUAGGGGCAGAGGGAAUUUCCAGUGGAGCGGUGAAAUGCGUUGAGAUCGAAAAGAACACCAACAGCGAAAGCACUCUGCUGGGACGACACUGACACUAAGAGACGAAAGCUAGGGGAGCAAAUGGGAUUAGAUACCCCGGUAGUCCCUGUCUCUUAUAC
This 301-nucleotide ribosomal RNA is filed under the name uncultured bacterium. RNAcentral describes it as "partial 16S ribosomal RNA". It matches the Rfam family "Bacterial small subunit ribosomal RNA", at positions 509 to 807 of the family's 1533-position model. The record is from RNAcentral.